UGCCAGCAGCCGCGGUAAUACGAAGGGACCUAGCGUAAUUCGGAAUUACUGGGCUUAAAGAGCGCGUAGGCGGUUGAAAAAGUUAAUGGUGAAAGCCCAAAGCUUAACUUUGGAACUGCCAUUAAAACUUCUUAGCUAGAGUAUGAUAGAGGAAAGCGGAAUACAUAGUGUAGAGGUGAAAUUCGUAGAUAUUAUGUAGAACACCAGUUGCGAAGGCGGCUUUCUGGGAUAACACUGACGCUGAGGUGCGAAAGUAUGGGUAGCGAAGAGGAUUAGAUACCCUCGUAGUCCAUACCGUAAACGAUGAUUGUUAGAUGUUGGAAAUUUAUUUUCAGUAUCACAGCUAACGCGUUAAACAAUCCGCCUGGGGAGUACGACCGCAAGGUUAAAACUCAAAUGAAUUGACGGGGACCCGCACAAGCGGUGGAGCAUGUGGUUUAAUUCGAAGCUACGCGCAGAACCUUACCAACACUUGACAUGUCUGUCGCGGAUUUCCAGAGAUGGAUUCCUUCGGUUCGGCCCGGACAGAACACAAGUGCUGCAUGGCUGUCGUCGGCUCGUGUC
This 564-nucleotide ribosomal RNA is filed under the name uncultured alpha proteobacterium kpj430f. RNAcentral's name for it is "bacterial SSU rRNA". It matches the Rfam family "Bacterial small subunit ribosomal RNA", at positions 506 to 1066 of the family's 1533-position model. Lineage: Bacteria; Pseudomonadati; Pseudomonadota; Alphaproteobacteria. The record is from RNAcentral.